CCUACGGGAGGCACGCAGUGGGGAAUAUUGGACAAUGGGCGAAAGCCUGAUCCAGCCAUGCCGCGCGAAUGAUGAAGGCCUUAGGGUUGUAAAGUUCUUUUGCCAGGGAAGAUAAUGACGGUACCUGGAGAAUAAGCACCGGCUAACUUCGUGCCAGCAGCCGCGGUAAUACGAAGGGUGCUAGCGUUGUUCGGAAUUACUGGGCGUAAAGCGCGCGUAGGCGGCUAUACAAGUCAGAGGUGAAAUCCCGGGGCUCAACCCCGGAACUGCCUUUGAAACUGUAUAGCUGGAGUGUGUGAGGGGAUGGCGGAAUUCCUAAUGUAGAGGUGAAAUUCGUAGAUAUUAGGAGGAACACCGGUGGCGAAGGCGGCCAUCUGGCACACAACUGACGCUGAGGCGCGAAAGCGUGGGGAUCAAACAGGAUUAGAUACCCUGGUAGUCCACGCUGUAAACGAUGAGUGCUAGCCGUUAGAUCCUUAGGAUUUAGUGGCGUCGCUAACGCAUUAAGCACUCCGCCUGGGGAGUACGGUCGCAAGAUUAAAACUCAAAGGAAUUGACGG
This 560-nucleotide ribosomal RNA is filed under the name uncultured bacterium. RNAcentral describes it as "bacterial SSU rRNA". It matches the Rfam family "Bacterial small subunit ribosomal RNA", at positions 338 to 916 of the family's 1533-position model. The record is from RNAcentral.